This 468-nucleotide ribosomal RNA is filed under the name uncultured bacterium. RNAcentral describes it as "partial 16S ribosomal RNA". It matches the Rfam family "Bacterial small subunit ribosomal RNA", at positions 28 to 507 of the family's 1533-position model. The record is from RNAcentral.
GACGAACGCUGGCGGCGUGCUUAACACAUGCAAGUCGAACGGAAAGGCCCUGCUUUUGUGGGGUGCUCGAGUGGCGAACGGGUGAGUAACACGUGAGUAACCUGCCCUUGACUUUGGGAUAACUUCAGGAAACUGGGGCUAAUACCGGAUAGGAGCUCCUGCUGCAUGGUGGGGGUUGGAAAGUUUCGGCGGUUGGGGAUGGACUAGCGGCUUAUCAGCUUGUUGGUGGGGUAGUGGCUUACCAAGGCUUUGACGGGUAGCCGGCCUGAGAGGGUGACCGGCCACAUUGGGACUGAGGUACGGCCCAGACUCCUACGGGAGGCAGCAGUGGGGAAUAUUGCACAAUGGGCGGAAGCCUGAUGCAGCAACGCCGCGUGCGGGAUGACGGCCUUCGGGUGGUAAACCGCUUUCGCCUGUGACGAAGAGUGAGUGACGGUAAUGGGUAAAGAAGCACCGGCUAACUACGUG